UAGGGAAUCUUCCACAAUGGACGCAAGUCUGAUGGAGCAACGCCGCGUGAGUGAAGAAGGUUUUCGGACCGUAAAGCUCUGUUGUUGGUGAAGAAGGAUAGAGGUAGUAACUGGCCUUUAUUUGACGUGAUAUCAACCAGAAAGUCACGGCUAACUACGUGCCAGCAGCCGCGGUAAUACGUAGGUGGCAAGCGUUGUCCGGAUUUAUUGGGCGUAAAGCGAGCGCAGGCGGAAGAAUAAGUCUGAUGUGAAAGCCCUCGGCUUAACCGAGGAAUUGCAUCGGAAACUGUUUUUCUUGAGUGCAGAAGAGGAGAGUAGAACUCCAUGUGUAGCGGUGGAAUGCGUAGAUAUAUGGAAGAAUACCAGUGGCGAAGGCGGCUCUCUGGUCUGCAACUGACGCUGAGGCUCGAAAGCAUGGGUAGCGAACAGGAUUAGAUACCCUGGUAGUCCAUGCCGUAAACGAUGAGUGCUAAGUGUUGGGAGGCUUCCGCCUCUCAGUGCUGCAGCUAACGCAUUAAGCACUCCGCCUGGGGGAGUACGACCGCAAGGUUGAAAC
This 556-nucleotide ribosomal RNA is filed under the name uncultured bacterium. RNAcentral describes it as "partial 16S ribosomal RNA". It matches the Rfam family "Bacterial small subunit ribosomal RNA", at positions 355 to 900 of the family's 1533-position model. The record is from RNAcentral.